This 70-nucleotide transfer RNA is filed under the name Dipodomys ordii (Ord's kangaroo rat). It matches the Rfam family "tRNA". From Rfam's summary of the family: Transfer RNA (tRNA) molecules are approximately 80 nucleotides in length. Their secondary structure includes four short double-helical elements and three loops (D, anti-codon, and T loops). Lineage: Eukaryota; Metazoa; Chordata; Mammalia; Rodentia; Heteromyidae. The record is from Rfam by way of RNAcentral.
GGGACUGUGGUCUAGUGGUAGAGCGCUUGCCUAGCAUGCAUGAAGCCCUGGGUUCAAUUCCUCAGUACCA